This 502-nucleotide ribosomal RNA is filed under the name uncultured bacterium. Its description in RNAcentral is "partial 16S ribosomal RNA". It matches the Rfam family "Bacterial small subunit ribosomal RNA", at positions 30 to 523 of the family's 1533-position model. The record is from RNAcentral.
AUUGAACGCUGGCGGCAUGCCUUACACAUGCAAGUCGAACGGCAGCACGGGUGCUUGCACCUGGUGGCGAGUGGCGAACGGGUGAGUAAUAUAUCGGAACGUGCCUUAGAGUGGGGGAUAACUAGUCGAAAGAUUAGCUAAUACCGCAUACGAUCUACGGAUGAAAGUGGGGGAUCGCAAGACCUCAUGCUCUUAGAGCGGCCGAUAUCUGAUUAGCUAGUUGGUGGGGUAAAAGCCUACCAAGGCGACGAUCAGUAGCUGGUCUGAGAGGACGACCACCCACACUGGGAAUGAGACCCGGCCAAGACUCCUACGGGAGGCAGCAGUGGAGAAUUUUGGACAAUGGGGGCAACCCUGAUCCAGCAAUGCCGCGUGAGUGAAGAAGGCCUUCGGGUUGUAAAGCUCUUUUGUCAGGAAAGAAAUCCUAUUCGCUAAUACCGAGUGGGGAUGACGGUACCUGAAGAAUAAGCACCGGCUAACUACGUGCCAGCAGCCGCGGUAA